This 834-nucleotide small RNA is filed under the name Pan troglodytes (chimpanzee). RNAcentral describes it as "unitary pseudogene". Lineage: Eukaryota; Metazoa; Chordata; Mammalia; Primates; Hominidae. The record is from RNAcentral.
UGUGACAUGCAUUGUAGGAUAAUCCUCAUGACACUCUACAGUGUGGUUGUACUUAGUGGCACUGCAGGAAUGGUUAUGAUGUUACGUAUGAUCUUCAAAACAAAUAGCCAAUCAAUGAUUGGUACAAUCAUCUUCAAUAUCAUAGUGCUGCACUCCAUCCUCCUGGUCAGCCUUCCAUUCCACCUCAGCUAUUAUGUCUUAGUCAUCUGGGAGCUUGGAUUUCUUCACCUGCCGAGUGGUUAGCAUCAUAUAUGGGCAUAUGUACUUUACUUUUGUUUUCUGUGUGGCCAUUGUCAUACUCUGAUUACUCAUUUAUGUUAAGAAACUCCAAAUGCAACAGUUACAAAACUACCAUGUAGUAGUUUUAAGCAUUAUUAUUUGGAUGGUGGGUUGCCUCAUUUUUGUCAAUUUUUUUUUUUUUUUUUUUACAGUAUGGCAUAGAUCCAAGUUACUCAGAACAACGAUGCUUUGAAUUCUGCAAAGAUCUUAACCACAGAGAAUUCAUUAUCAUGAACUACUCUGUGAUUGUCACUAUGGAUGACAAUGGUUGUGAUCCUCUUCCUGAUACAGACAGCUGUCAUCAUUCAACCGAUAAAAGCUCUUUGACCUGACAUGUGGACCCAUCAAGAGUAUAGACCCCAAAUCAAGAGUUUCUUCUUCCUUCUAGUAAUAGUUGUCUGUUUUGUACCCCACCAUGCAUUCUGGGUACACUUUAUUCAAAAUAAUUCAGAGAGAAAAUCUUCUAACUUAGUUCUUUAUAAUGAAAUUUAUGUUGCUUUAACGACUGUCUGUUGCCUGGAUAUGCUGUGUUUCUUAAGUGGGGUUAUACAUUAA